Molecule: long non-coding RNA, 758 nt
Organism: Rhea pennata
Lineage: Eukaryota; Metazoa; Chordata; Aves; Rheiformes; Rheidae
Exons: 3
Source: RefSeq, a predicted model, not a curated record
UUACUGGCGAAACAAAUGUCACGCUUUCACAUCUAUGCUGCAUCCUGAUCCCUUCUUCGGUAUUCUCUACUUUGUUAGUCUGUGUUUCAUGCAAUAGUUCCUUGUAGGUGUUGGAAACCUCAGCAGAUUGAUGAGAAGAGCUUGCUGUGUUUUUUCUGGACCCUCCCAUCAGAGGACAGAGAAGAAAAGAAGACGACAAACCUUUACAUCUCAUUAGGAAACAAUUACUUCCACCAUCCCCUCUCUGAUGUCCUCCAAAAUAAAAGGCCAAGUUUUAUUCAAGGUUACAUACCUGCAACUACUUUUGAAAUUUAUGAGUUACUAAAAUUACCGAUGGUAGAGUCAUUACAAAAACAAAUUGCACAAAUUAAGAUCCCUCAUAGCCCUAGAAUUCUAGAGUUAUGGGGUUACUUUCCAUGAGACUUUACACUUUCACCAGCUGUCAAGGUCAAUUUGCCAAUAUAAAAGACAGUGGAAAUCUGCUAUGCAUGUCAGUCCUGAAAAAUUGUAAGGCCACUGACAGAAGCAAGGGGUGGGAAACUAUACAGAAAAUUUCCCUUAUGUGGACAAUGUUUCUGGAAGGUGAGGUGGCUUUACUAGCACUACCUACAAAACCAAAGGCAGACAAACUCCACUACUGCUCAGGACUACGUUUGUGUCUACAGUCACACAUUUCUUGCAGUAGAAGCUCCUCAGCCUGGUCCAGAGACUCCUGUAGACUUUCUGAUGCAGCCAGAAUAGUUGUUGAUAAUACUUUC